AGCGUGUGCUCUCUUGGCCGACAGGUCCGGGAAACCCGUUGAACCCCCGGUCGUGCUAGGGUAUAGGGAAUUGCAAUUAUUUCCCUUGAACGAGGAAUUCCCAGUAAGCGCGAGUCAUUAGCUCGCGUUGAUUACGUCCCUGCCCUUUGUACACACCGCCCGUCGCUACUACCGAUUGAAUGGUUUAGUGAGGUCCUCCGAUUGGACCCGGUCCGGGCGGCGACGUCCGAGCCGGCGUCCGAGAAGACGAUCUAACUUGAUCAUUUAGAGGAAGUAAAAGUCGUAACAAGGUUUCCGUAGGUGAACCUGCGGAAGGAUCAUUA
Molecule: non-coding RNA, 323 nt
Organism: Ciona savignyi (Pacific transparent sea squirt)
Lineage: Eukaryota; Metazoa; Chordata; Ascidiacea; Phlebobranchia; Cionidae
Source: Rfam